UUUUGCAACACAUUUGUCUUCUAUCUCACACUAGGCACUUCAUUAAAUAGUUGAUGCAUGUGUGAACAAAUGAAUAAAUGAAAGCGGCAUUCAUUGGAAUCAAGUUUUGAUGGGAUCCAGAGAUAAUACAAAACAUAAACUUCCCAGUUGAAUCAGUGGAUUUAAGGUAGUUACCUGCCUUUCAGAGAGGUUACUUAACAGCAAACACUACAGAAACGUCCUGCAGUUCAUCCGCCUGCAUUGCCUUCAGUCUGAACCCUGACUCUUCAAUCACAGCGGACUCAUUUGGAAUCACACAAAUUAAAAGGAGUUUCAGAAAUGGUGUUCAAACAAACAAGAAAACCUUUCCCUGGAGAAAAUGAACUUCAUCAUCUGAUGGACCAGAACAUUGUUCAGAAGGACAAAACUCCACUUGAGAUAAGUCACGAGUUCCCCUGGUUACUACUGCAUUUUAUAAAUCAUUGAGAUUUUAUUUAGCAUAUAAUUUUAUCAAUUUGUUACCAAAUGUUAUAAUUUAUACACUUCUAUUUUGUUUACUUUAUUAA
This is a long non-coding RNA of Eptesicus fuscus (big brown bat), 545 nucleotides long. RefSeq lists it as uncharacterized. Lineage: Eukaryota; Metazoa; Chordata; Mammalia; Chiroptera; Vespertilionidae. The transcript is spliced from 3 exons. The record is from RefSeq and is a predicted model, not a curated record.